RNAcentral lists this transfer RNA (45 nucleotides) under Harpactocrates apennicola. RNAcentral's name for it is "tRNA-Tyr". The record is from RNAcentral. Lineage: Eukaryota; Metazoa; Arthropoda; Arachnida; Araneae; Dysderidae.
UAAAAUCUUAGAUGAAAGACUGUAAAUCUUUAUAAGCACUUUUAA